GUGCUCAUUUCGGCAGCAUGGACACUCAGUUUGGAACAACACAGAAAAGGUUGACAUGGCUCCUGUGCAGGGAUGAGGUACAAAGUCAUGAAGCAUUCCAUAUUUUC
Manis pentadactyla (Chinese pangolin) is the source of this 107-nucleotide small nuclear RNA. The record is from RefSeq and is a predicted model, not a curated record. Lineage: Eukaryota; Metazoa; Chordata; Mammalia; Pholidota; Manidae.